This 253-nucleotide ribosomal RNA is filed under the name uncultured bacterium. Its description in RNAcentral is "partial 16S ribosomal RNA". It matches the Rfam family "Bacterial small subunit ribosomal RNA", at positions 524 to 776 of the family's 1533-position model. The record is from RNAcentral.
UACAGAGGGGGCAAGCGUUGUUCGGAAUUACUGGGCGUAAAGGGCGCGUAGGCGGCCUUCUAAGUCGAACGUGAAAUCCCCGGGCUCAACCCGGGAACUGCGUCCGAUACUGGAAGGCUUGAAUCCGGGAGAGGGAUGCGGAAUUCCAGGUGUAGCGGUGAAAUGCGUAGAUAUCUGGAGGAACACCGGUGGCGAAGGCGGCUCACUGGACCGGUACUGACGCUGAGGUGCGAAAGCGUGGGGAGCAAACAGG